Molecule: long non-coding RNA, 272 nt
Organism: Corticium candelabrum
Lineage: Eukaryota; Metazoa; Porifera; Homoscleromorpha; Homosclerophorida; Plakinidae
Exons: 3
Source: RefSeq, a predicted model, not a curated record
AUGCUUGUGUGGGAGUUUAGAAGCGUUUGCGUUUUUUUUUUUGAAAGACUCAUCUCUCUGACAGCUAGUGCAGACUGCAAAGCACAUCUGAAUGUCAAAAUCGAUACUAAUCCUAUUCCUUCAGCUCUCUACGAUUCACUAUCAAGUAUCAGCACAAUCCAAAAGGGCGUGUACAGCUAAUGAGUUCAUCUGUACCGACGGCCAGUGUGUAUCAUCCCAAAAGAGAUGCGAUGGAAACUUGGAUUGCCAUGACCGUUCUGACGAAAAUUGUU